This is a long non-coding RNA of Diceros bicornis minor, 249 nucleotides long. RefSeq lists it as uncharacterized. NCBI's taxonomy places the organism in Eukaryota, Metazoa, Chordata, Mammalia, Perissodactyla, Rhinocerotidae. The record is from RefSeq and is a predicted model, not a curated record. The transcript is spliced from 3 exons.
GCGAGGGCAGGAGGCCCCCGGCAGGCGACAGCGUGCAGUUCAGCCCAGCGCUCUGCCUGCUGCCUCUCCCGCCGGCGCUGGUCCUCAGCACCAGAAUGAUGUGCUUCUGCUCCUGCUGCAAUAUUUCUAAGAAGCGAUUUACAAGAGGACUAUUUCAACUGAGAAUGCCCUAGUGAGACUGGAAGAGACAACAAGGAAUUGGGCAGACAUCUUGCUUUCCAGUAAUUUAUAAGCUCAUCCUUUGUUUAA